RNAcentral lists this long non-coding RNA (8673 nucleotides) under Xyrichtys novacula (pearly razorfish). Lineage: Eukaryota; Metazoa; Chordata; Actinopteri; Labriformes; Labridae. The record is from RNAcentral.
AAAAUUUCUUCACAAAUGUGUUGAUGGCUGGACAUUGCAUCAUCCUAAAAAACUUGGAGGCCAGUAUGGAAAAAAAUAAAAAGUUAUAACACUUUUAAGAAUGUGGAUUUUUGGGUUAUAUUUGGUGCCCCCUAGAACCCAAACCGUGGGGUGCAGCAAGAUGAUUUGUACAACUUUUAAUGGCCAUGGGGUGUAGAUUGGCCUGAGCAAAUUUGGUGCCGGUGGAAAGAUAGCCUUCGGAGGAGUUAGUGAAAUUCCAAUGUGUGCGGAUCAGCAAAAAAUGCAAAAUAGCCCUUUAACCGUACAUUUGACAGAUACAUGCCCUUUGACUUUUUCGUAGAUCUUAUUGAGAUACACGUGAUUGUCAAAUUUUGUGUCAAUAUGACAAAGCAUACAGGCGUGACACUCGACAAUGUGUAUUUUGACCUUUGGAGACAAGAAAAAAUGGACCUUUUUCUCCUGCCAUUGGGGGGCGCUCUUUUGGGGAGUAAAAAUUCCUUCACAAAUGUGUUGAUGGCUGGACAUUGCAUCAUCCUAGAAAACUUGGAGGCCAGUGAGGACAAAAGUAAAAAGUUAUAACACUUUUAAGAAUGUGGAUUUUUGGGUUAUCUUUGGCGCCCCCUAGAACAUAAACCGUGGGGUGCAGCGUCAUGAUUUGUACAACUUUUAAUGGCCAUGGGGUGUAGAUUGGCCUGCGCAAAUGUGGUGCCGGUCGAACGAAAGCCUUCGGAGGAGUUAGCGAAAUUCCAAUGUGUGCAGAUCUGCAAAAAAUGAAAAAUAACCCAUUAACCGUACAUUUGACAGAUACGCCCACACUGACUUUUUUGUAGAUCUUAUUGAGAUACACGUGUGUGUCAAUUUUUGUGUCAAUAUGACAAAGCGUACAGCCGUCAUGUGAAUUUUCACCUUAGGGGGCGCUAUGGAGCCAUUUUGCAUUUUAUUGUUUGGGCGACUUCAGAAUAUCGAAUUUUUCACCAGGCCCGGUCGUCCUGCCAAAUUUCCUGAGUUUUCGCCAGUGGGAAGUGGGCCAUUUUCCAGUUUAAAGCGGAGGAAAAAUAAUAACGAACUAGGGCCCCGUUGGGGCACUGGCGGGCCCGAGCCGUGUCGCGCCGCCCCCAGCGCGACCGCCUACCCCUCCCGAUCGCGUCACACUCAAGGUCCAAAGAUGGUGUGCGCACUUGUCUGUGGUCAUUUACCAUUAUAAUGAAUGGGAGGCGCAGUUUCUACCAAAACGCUCGCUGCAGACAAACUCCAUGUCCUUUUUGAAAAAAGUCUGGACCAUGAGUGAGGGCACAAACACAGCUAGUAUAUAUCCAAAUGGCAAGUUGCUCCUCCUUUCGGUUUUGCCGAGAGAGCGAUGCGUUUGAGCCAUUGAGCGAUGGGCAGGAAAAACUUGACUUUUUCUCCUGCCAUGGGGGGGCGCUCUUUUGGGGAGAAAAAAUUCCUUCACAAAUGUGUUGAUGGCUGGACAUUGCAUCAUCCUAGAAAACUUGGAGGCCAGUGAGGACAAAAAUAAAAAGUUAUAAGACUUUUAAAAAUGUGGAUAUUUGGGUCCUCUUUGGCGCCCCCUAGAACGUAAACUGUGGGGUGCAGCGUCAUGAUUUGUACAACUUUGAAUGGCCAUGGGGUGUAGAUUGACCUGAGCAAAUUUGAAGCCGAUGGGACAAAAGAUUUAGGAGGAGUUAGCCACAUUCCAAUGUGUGCGAAUCGGCAAAAAAUGCGAAAUAGCCCUUUAACCGUACAUUGAACAGAUACGCUCGCAUUGACUUUUUCGUAGAUCUUAUUGAGAUACAUGUGUGUGUCAAAUUUUGUGUCAUUUUGACAAAGCGUAAAGGCGUGACAGUCAACAAUGUGUAUUUUCGCCUUAGGAGACAAGAAAAAAUGGACUUUUUUCUCCUGCCAUGGGGGGGCGCUCUUUUGGCGAGUAAAAAUUCCUUCACAAAUGUGUUGAUGGCUGGACAUUGCAUCAUCCUAGAGAACUUGGAGGCCAGUGAGGACAAAAAUAAAAAGUUAUAAGACUUUUAAGACUGUGGAUUUUUGGGUUAUCUUUGGCGCCCCCUAGAACGUAAACCGUGGGGUGCAGCGUCAUGAUUUGUACAACUUUUAAUGGCCAUGGGGUGUAGAUUGGCCUGAGCAAAUGUGGUGCCUUUGGAACGAAAGCCUUCGGAGGAGUUAGCGAAAUUCCAAUGUGUGCGGAUCGGCAAAAAAUGCGAAAUAGCCCUUUAACCGUACAUUUGACAGAUACGCUCGCACUGACUUUUUUGUAGAUCUUAUUGAGAUACAUGUGUGUGUCAAUUUUUGUGUCAAUAUGACAAAGCGUAAAGGCGUGACAGUCAAUAGUGUGAAUUUUCGCCUUAGGAGACAAGAAAAAAUGGACUUUUUUCUCCUGCCAUGGGGGGGCGCUCUUUUGGCGAGUAAAAAUUCCUUCACAAAUGUGUUGAUGGCUGGACAUUGCAUCAUCCUAGAGAACUUGGAGGCCAGUGAGGACAAAAAUAAAAAGUUAUAAGACUUUUAAGACUGUGGAUUUUUGGGUUAUCUUUGGCGCCCCCUAGAACGUAAACCGUGGGGUGCAGCGUCAUGAUUUGUACAACUUUUAAUGGUCAUGGGGUGUAGAUUGGCCUGAGCAAAUGUGGUGCCGGUGGAACGAAAGCCUUCGGAGGAGUUAGCGAAAUUCCAAUGUGUGCGGAUCGGCAAAAAAUGCGAAAUAACCCUUUAACCGUACAUUUGACAGAUACGCUCGCACUGACUUUUUUGUAGAUCUUAUUGAGAUACAUGUGUGUGUCAAUUUUUGUGUCAAUAUGACAAAGCGUAAAGGCGUGACAGUCAAUAGUGUGAAUUUUCACCUUAGGGGGCGCUAUGGAGCCAUUUUGCAUUUUAUUGUUUGGGCGACUUCAGAAUAUCGAAUUUUUCACCAGGCCCAUUCGUCCUGCCAAAUUUCAUGAGUUUUCGCCAGUGGGAAGUGGGCCAUUUUCCCCUUCAAAGGGGAGGAAAAAUAAGAAGAAAGAAAGAAAGAAAGAAAGAAAGAAAGAAAGAAGAAAGAAAAACCUAUACAGGAAUAAUAGGGCUCUACGCCCGGCUGCUCUGCAGCUGGCUCGGGCCCUAACUAGGACCCCGUUGGGGCACUGGCGGGCCCGAGCCGUGUCACGUCUCCCCCCCCCUUUGAGCCCCUGCUACUGUAUAAUCAUGUGCAUGUCUCUGUUCUAGCUCCAAGGUGAAUCUUCACUGCUCAUGUUCUCCUCAGAAGCAGUCACCUCACUCCCCUCAGGUUACUGUACACAUGCACCAACUGCCUGCUUCAGGUUUGGAUGGAGCUUCAUGGUUGUCUUUUGGAGAAAUGACCAGUCAAGUUGUGUUUGAAAUUUGAUUUUUUUCAGGGGCAAAAGGAGCCUCUGCAUUCUUGUCAAAUAUGUAAAUAGCAUGUUUUUGCAGGUGCUAAAAACCAGACUCUGAGUGUGUGUGUGUGUGUGUGUGUGUGUGUGCGCGUGCGUGUGUGUGUGUCUAUGUGUGCGUUCAAGUCACAUGACAUAUUUAACCGGAUGUAGCUGCAAGACGGAGCCUCGUUGACUCUCCGUUUCAACUUAUCUCAAAAGUGAGGACCUCAACCUAUAUACCAGUUUUUAAAUUGUGUUGAUAGGCCAAAUAAAACCAGAGUUAUGAUAAAUUAUGUCCGCGAUACUUUUUUUCUGCUUAUUUUGAUCAUGUUCGGCGCUCGAUCGCGCUGUAUGAGACAGGAAAACAUAGCAUGUAGACAUUAGCGACAGGUCUUACAGGCGGAAAAGGCUUGCCAAAAGAAAAAAAAAACACACCACAACAUCUCUCCUAUUGGUGGAAAACUUCACCACAACAACCAAUCCAAAAUUAUAUGGUGACUGAUUGACAAGGGGCGGGCGCUUACGUUCUUCCUGCAACAUGAGAAGGGAGGGAGGGACUCUCAGCAGGGAUGCAGUCUGGGACACGUAGUUGCAAACCUAGCAACUUUGUUGUUAGAUUCAAUGACUUUUCAGACCCCCUAACGACUUUUUUUUAGAAAGAAAGGGACUUUUAUCGACUUCUUCUGGAGUUUAGAGACUCUGACAUGAAGCAGGCUUUCCUUACUGAGGAGUUAGCAACGCUGCUAAGGGUGCAGAGCUACACAUGCGCUCAGAGCUCUGCAUGGGAGACUGAAGCUGACAGAGCUGCAGCAGUUAGCAGGUUUCACCCUCAGAGACCACCAGGGGUUCAUGUUGAGGCAUUUUAAAUUUUUUUUUUUUUUUUGUGCCAUAGACACUGUCAGCACAAUCUGCAGUUACACUAACAAAAAUGCUGCAAAAAACAAAGAAUUAUGGAAAAAUUACACAUGGACUGACAUAGAGGAGGAUCUACACAAGUUUUUUACAUCAUGUUUUACAUCAUGCAUCAUUUACAUCAUGUUUUUUUGUAGUGGCAUAAAUAAAAAGUGACAUUUGUGAGACUAUACAGUGUUUUGUAAAUAAUUUUACAAAGAACGCCUGGGCCAUUGCCUGCAUUUUGAUGUAAAUAGAGGUAAAUUACUAUGUUCUUUGUUAAAAAUUUGCAUAUGUUUUGAAGUUUACAAUUUUUAUUUGAAGUUUAAGUUUUAAAAACAGUUCAUCACACAUAUUUGUGGUUUAAUUUCACAUUAAUUUCCAUAUUGUAUAAAUGACUGGAAAAAACUUGAGCCCCUGCCCCUGUAUAAUCAUGUGCACGUCCCUGUUCUAGCUCCAAGGUGAAUCUUACUGCUCAUGUUCUCCUCAGAAAUAGUCACCUCACUCCCCUCAGGUUACUGUACACAUGCACCAACUAUCUGCUUCAGGUUUGAAAUGGAGCUUCAUGGUUGUCUUUUGGAGAAAUGAACAGUCAAGUUGUGUUUGAAAUUUGAUUUUUUUCAGGGGCAAAAGGAAGCCUCUGCAUUCUUGUCAAAUAUGUAAACAGCAUGUUUUUGAAGGUGCUAAAAACCAGACUCUGAGUGUGUGUGUGUGUGUCUGUGUGUGUGUGUGUGUGUGUGUAUGUUGGCGUGUGUGUAUAUGUGUGUGUAUCCUGCAGUACUCUGUACUCCUGCAGUGGCCAAAAAGACUUUUAAGAAUGUGGAUUUUUGGGUCAUCUUUGGCGCCCCCUAGAACUGCAGUACUCUGUACUCCUGCAGUGGCCAAAAUGACUUUUAAGAAUGUGGAUUUUUGGGUCAUCUUUGGCGCCCCCUAGAACGUAAACCGUGGGGUGCAGCGUCAUGAUUUUUACAACUUUGAAUGGGCAUGGGGUGUAGAUUGCCCUGAGCAAAUUUGGUAUCGGUGGGACGAAAGCCUUAGGAGGAGAUAGCCACAUUCCAAUGUGUGCGAAUCGGCAAAAAAUGCAAAAUAGCCCUUUAACCGUACAUUAUACAGAUACGCGCUCUUUGACUUUUUCGUAGAUCUAAUUGAGAUACACAUGAUUGUCAAUUUUUUUGUCAAUAUGACAAAGCGUAAAGGCGUGACACUCAACAACGUGUAUUUUCACCUUUCGGGAUAAGAAAAAAUGGACUUUUUUCUCCUGCCAUGGGGGGCGCUCUUUUGGGGAGUAAAAAUUUCUUCACAAAUGUGUUGAUGGCUGGACAUUGCAUCAUCCUAAAAAACUUGGAGGCCAGUAUGGAAAAAAAUAAAAAGUUAUAAGACUUUUAAGAAUGUGGAUUUUUGGGUUAUAUUUGGUGCCCCCUAGAACCCAAAACGUGGGGUGCAGCAAGAUGAUUUGUACAACUUUUAAUGGCCAUGGGGUGUAGAUUGGCCUGAGCAAAUUUGGUGCCGGUGGAAAGAUAGCCUUCGGAGGAGUUAGUGAAAUUCCAAUGUGUGCGGAUCGGCAAAAAAUGCAAAAUAGCCCUUUAACCGUACAUUUGACAGAUACAUGCCCUUUGACUUUUUCGUAGAUCUUAUUGAGAUACAUGUGAUUGUCAAAUUUUGUGUCAAUAUGACAAAGCAUACAAACGUGACACUCGACAAUGUGUAUUUUGACCUUUGGAGACAAGAAAAAAUGGACCUUUUUCUCCUGCCAUUGGGGGGCGCUCUUUUGGGGAGUAAAAAUUCCUUCAAAAUUGUGUUGAUGGCUGGACAUUGCAUCAUCCUAGAAAACUUGGAGGCCAGUGAGGACAAAAGUAAAAAGUUAUAAGACUUUUAAGAAUGUGGAUUUUUGGGUUAUCUUUGGCGCCCCCUAGAACGUAAACCGUGGGGUGCAGCGUCAUGAUUUGUACAACUUUUAAUGGCCAUGGGGUGUAGAUUGGCCUGCGCAAAUGUGGUGCCGGUCGAACGAAAGCCUUCGGAGGAGUUAGCGAAAUUCCAAUGUGUGCAGAUCUGCAAAAAAUGAAAAAUAACCCUUUAACCGUACAUUUGACAGAUACGGCCGCACUGACUUUUUUGUAGAUCUUAUUGAGAUACACGUGUGUGUCAAUUUUUCUGUCAAUAUGACAAAGCGUACAGCCGUCAUGUGAAUUUUCACCUUAGGGGGCGCUAUGGAGCCAUUUUGCAUUUUAUUGUUUGGGCGACUUCAGAAUAUCGAAUUUUUCACCAGGCCCGGUCGUCCUGCCAAAUUUCCUGAGUUUUCGCCAGUGGGAAGUGGGCCAUUUUCCAGUUUAAAGCGGAGGAAAAAUAACUAGGGCCCCGUUGGGGCACUGGCGGGCCCGAGCCGUGUCGCGCCGCCCCCAGCGCGACCGCCUACCCCUCCCGAUCGCGUCACACUCAAGGUCCAAAGAUGGUGUGCGCACUUGUCUGUGGUCAUUUACCAUUAUAAUGAAUGGGAGGCGCAGUUUCUACCAAAACGCUCGCUGCAGACAAACUCCAUGUCCUUUUUGAAAAAAGUCUGGACCAUGAGUGAGGGCACAAACACAGCUAGUAUAUAUCCAAAUGGCAAGUUGCUCCUCCUUUCGGUUUUGCCGAGAGAGCGAUGCGUUUGAGCCAUUGAGCGAUGGGCAGGAAAAACUUGACUUUUUCUCCUGCCAUGGGGGGGCGCUCUUUUGGGGAGUAAAAAUUCCUUCACAAAUGUGUUGAUGGCUGGACAUUGCAUCAUCCUAGAAAACUUGGAGGCCAGUGAGGACAAAAAUAAAAAGUUAUAAGACUUUUAAAAAUGUGGAUAUUUGGGUCCUCUUUGGCGCCCCCUAGAACGUAAACUGUGGGGUGCAGCGUCAUGAUUUGUACAACUUUGAAUGGCCAUGGGGUGUAGAUUGACCUGAGCAAAUUUGAAGCCGAUGGGACAAAAGAUUUAGGAGGAGUUAGCCACAUUCCAAUGUGUGCGAAUCGGCAAAAAAUGCGAAAUAGCCCUUUAAUCGUACAUUGAACAGAUACGCUCGCAUUGACUUUUUCGUAGAUCUUAUUGAGAUACAUGUGUGUGUCAAUUUUUGUGUCAAUAUGACAAAGCGUAAAGGCGUGACAGUCAAUAGUGUGAAUUUUCGCCUUAGGAGACAAGAAAAAAUGGACUUUUUUCUCCUGCCAUGGGGGGGCGCUCUUUUGGCGAGUAAAAAUUCCUUCACAAAUGUGUUGAUGGCUGGACAUUGCAUCAUCCUAGAGAACUUGGAGGCCAGUGAGGACAAAAAUAAAAAGUUAUAAGACUUUUAAGACUGUGGAUUUUUGGGUUAUCUUUGGCGCCCCCUAGAACGUAAACCGUGGGGUGCAGCGUCAUGAUUUGUACAACUUUUAAUGGCCAUGGGGUGUAGAUUGGCCUGAGCAAAUGUGGUGCCGGUGGAACGAAAGCCUUCGGAGGAGUUAGCGAAAUUCCAAUGUGUGCGGAUCGGCAAAAAAUGCGAAAUAACCCUUUAACCGUACAUUUGACAGAUACGCCCGCACUGACUUUUUUGUAGAUCUUAUUGAGAUACAUGUGUGUGUCAAUUUUUGUGUCAAUAUUACAAAGCGUAAAGGCGUGACAGUCAAUAGUGUGAAUUUUCACCUUAGGGGGCGCUAUGGAGCCAUUUUGCAUUUUAUUGUUUGGGCGACUUCAGAAUAUCGAAUUUUUCACCAGGCCCAUUCGUCCUGCCAAAUUUCAUGAGUUUUCGCCAGUGGGAAGUGGGCCAUUUUCCCCUUCAAAGGGGAGGAAAAAUAAGAAGAAAGAAAGAAAGAACUAGGGCCCCGUUGGGGCACUGGCGGGCCCGAGCCGUGUCACGCCGCCCCCAGCGCGACCGCCUCCCCCACCCGAUCGCGUCACACUCAAGGUCCAAAGAUGGUGUGCGCACUUGUUUGUGGUCAUUUACCAUUAUAAUGAACGGGAGGCGCAGUUUCUACCAAAACGCUCGCUGCAGAAAAACUCCAUGUCCUAUUUGAAAAAAGUCUGGACCAUGAGUGAGGGCACAAACACAGCUAAGAUAUAUCCAAAUGGCAAGUUGCUCCUCCUUUCGCUUUUGCCGAGAGAGCAGUGCGUUUGAGCCAUUGAAUGAUGAACAGGAAAAACUUGACUUUAUUCUCCUGCCAUGGGGGGGCGCUCUUUUAAAGAGAAAAAACUCCUUCACAAAUGUGUUGAUGGCUGGACAUUGCAUCAUCCUAGAAAACAUGGAGGCCAGUGAGGACAAAAAUAAAAAGUUAUAAGACUUUUAAAUAUGUGGAUUUUAGGGUUAUAUUUGGCGCCCCCUAGAACCUAAACCGUGGGGUGCAGCGUCAUGAUUUGAAUAACUUUUAAUGGCCAUGGGGUGUAGAUUGGCCUGAGCAAAUGUGGUGCCGGUGGAACGAAAGC